Molecule: transfer RNA, 64 nt
Filed under: Bos taurus (domestic cattle)
Lineage: Eukaryota; Metazoa; Chordata; Mammalia; Artiodactyla; Bovidae
Rfam family: tRNA
About the family: Transfer RNA (tRNA) molecules are approximately 80 nucleotides in length. Their secondary structure includes four short double-helical elements and three loops (D, anti-codon, and T loops). Further hydrogen bonds mediate the characteristic L-shaped molecular structure. tRNAs have two regions of fundamental functional importance: the anti-codon, which is responsible for specific mRNA codon recognition, and the 3' end, to which the tRNAs corresponding amino acid is attached (by aminoacyl-tRNA synthetases). tRNAs cope with the degeneracy of the genetic code in two manners: having more than one tRNA (with a specific anti-codon) for a particular amino acid; and 'wobble' base-pairing, i.e. permitting non-standard base-pairing at the 3rd anti-codon position.
Source: Rfam by way of RNAcentral
GACAGCUCAGAUGGUAAAAGCGUCUGCCUACAAUGCAGGAGAGCAGGGUUCAAUCCCUGGGUCA